RNAcentral lists this ribosomal RNA (652 nucleotides) under uncultured bacterium. RNAcentral's name for it is "bacterial SSU rRNA". It matches the Rfam family "Bacterial small subunit ribosomal RNA", at positions 202 to 842 of the family's 1533-position model. The record is from RNAcentral.
AAAGGUGGCUAUGCUACCGCUUUUGGAUGGGCCCGCGGCGCAUUAGCUAGUUGGUGGGGUAAAGGCUUACCAAGGCAAUGAUGCGUAGCCGAACUGAGAGGUUGAUCGGCCACAUUGGGACUGAGACACGGCCCAAACUCCUACGGGAGGCAGCAGUAGGGAAUCUUCCACAAUGGGCGAAAGCCUGAUGGAGCAACGCCGCGUGGGUGAAGAAGGUCUUCGGAUCGUAAAACCCUGUUGUUAGAGAAGAAAGUGCGUGAGAGUAACUGUUCACGUUUCGACGGUAUCUAACCAGAAAGCCACGGCUAACUACGUGCCAGCAGCCGCGGUAAUACGUAGGUGCCAAGCGUUAUCCGGAUUUAUUGGGCGUAAAGGGAACGCAGGCGGUCUUUUAAGUCUGAUGUGAAAGCCUUCGGCUUAACCGGAGUAGUGCAUUGGAAACUGGGAGACUUGAGUGCAGAAGAGGAGAGUGGAACUCCAUGUGUAGCGGUGAAAUGCGUAGAUAUAUGGAAGAACACCAGUGGCGAAAGCGGCUCUCUGGUCCGUAACUGACGCUGAGGUUCGAAAGCGUGGGUAGCAAACAGGAUUAGAUACCCUGGUAGUCCACGCCGUAAACGAUGAAUGCUAAGUGUUGGAGGGUUUCCGCCCUUCA